UUUAAAUUGAGAGUUUGAUCCUGGCUCAGGAUGAACGCUGGCGGCGUGCCUAAUACAUGCAAGUCGUACGCUAGCCGCUGAAUUGAUCCUUCGGGUGAAGUGAGGCAAUGACUAGAGUGGCGAACUGGUGAGUAACACGUAAGAAACCUGCCCUUUAGUGGGGGAUAACAUUUGGAAACAGAUGCUAAUACCGCGUAACAACAAAUCACACAUGUGAUCUGUUUGAAAGGUCCUUUUGGAUCGCUAGAGGAUGGUCUUGCGGCGUAUUAGCUUGUUGGUAGGGUAGAAGCCUACCAAGGCAAUGAUGCGUAGCCGAGUUGAGAGACUGGCCGGCCACAUUGGGACUGAGACACUGCCCAAACUCCUACGGGAGGCUGCAGUAGGGAAUUUUCCGCAAUGCACGAAAGUGUGACGGAGCGACGCCGCGUGUGUGAUGAAGGCUUUCGGGUCGUAAAGCACUGUUGUAAGGGAAGAAUAACUGAAUUCAGAGAAAGUUUUCAGCUUGACGGUACCUUACCAGAAAGGGAUGGCUAAAUACGUGCCAGCAGCCGCGGUAAUACGUAUGUCCCGAGCGUUAUCCGGAUUUAUUGGGCGUAAAGCGAGCGCAGACGGUUUAUUAAGUCUGAUGUGAAAUCCCGAGGCCCAACCUCGGAACUGCAUUGGAAACUGAUUUACUUGAGUGCGAUAGAGGCAAGUGGAACUCCAUGUGUAGCGGUGAAAUGCGUAGAUAUGUGGAAGAACACCAGUGGCGAAAGCGGCUUGCUAGAUCGUAACUGACGUUGAGGCUCGAAAGUAUGGGUAGCAAACGGGAUUAGAUACCCCGGUAGUCCAUACCGUAAACGAUGGGUGCUAGUUGUUAAGAGGUUUCCGCCUCCUAGUGACGUAGCAAACGCAUUAAGCACCCCGCCUGAGGAGUACGGCCGCAAGGCUAAAACUUAAAGGAAUUGACGGGGACCCGCACAAGCGGUGGAGCAUGUGGUUUAAUUCGAAGAUACGCGAAAAACCUUACCAGGUCUUGACAUACCAAUGAUCGCUUUUGUAAUGAAAGCUUUUCUUCGGAACAUUGGAUACAGGUGGUGCAUGGUCGUCGUCAGCUCGUGUCGUGAGAUGUUGGGUUAAGUCCCGCAACGAGCGCAACCCUUGUUAUUAGUUGCCAGCAUUUAGUUGGGCACUCUAAUGAGACUGCCGGUGAUAAACCGGAGGAAGGUGGGGACGACGUCAGAUCAUCAU
RNAcentral lists this ribosomal RNA (1230 nucleotides) under Oenococcus oeni. Its description in RNAcentral is "bacterial SSU rRNA". It matches the Rfam family "Bacterial small subunit ribosomal RNA", at positions 1 to 1196 of the family's 1533-position model. Lineage: Bacteria; Bacillati; Bacillota; Bacilli; Lactobacillales; Lactobacillaceae. The record is from RNAcentral.